RNAcentral lists this long non-coding RNA (653 nucleotides) under Penaeus japonicus. Its description in RNAcentral is "uncharacterized LOC122259845". The record is from RNAcentral. Lineage: Eukaryota; Metazoa; Arthropoda; Malacostraca; Decapoda; Penaeidae.
CUCUCUCUCUCUCUCUCUCUCUCUCUCUCUCUCUCUCUCUCUCUCUCUCUCUCUCUCUCUCUCUCCGGUUCCCUUUCGCUCCUUUUUUAUAUUAUCAUUCUUGCCCAUUUUUUUCUGUUUCGUCUUUUCGUGAGGGAAAUGCACAGUGGAAACAGAUUUUCCCGAAAGAAAUUACUAUUCGCCUCCUGUCAACUUCAGUGCUUGGAUCAUACGAAUUCUUUCUACAUCUCUCUAAAAUGUCAUACCGGGCUAUAGAGGAACAGUCAGAAUCUAUAAGAGUGAACACAGUACUGGUGCGAAAAUUAGAAAAAGUGUAAAUUGUGCGGUGCGAUUGAAAUAAUGAAAAGAAAGAAAAUUACUGUUUGUGCGUUGUGAACUCUGAACUGAUAAUCCAUCUUAGUAACUGGUGCGAAAAUUAGAAAAAAAAAGUGUAAAUUGUGCGGUGCGAUUAAAAUAAAAAGAAAGAAAAUUACAGUCAGAAUCUAUAAGAGUGAACACAGUACUGGUGCGAAAAUUUGAAAACAGUGUAAAUUGUGCGGUGCGAUUGAAAUAAAAAGAAAGAAAGAAAAUUAUAGUCAGAAUCUAUAAGAGUGAACACAGUACUGGUGCGAAAAUUAGAAAAAAGUGUAAAUUGUGCGGUGCGAUUGAAAUAA